GACGAACGCUGGCGGCAUGCCUAAUACAUGCAAGUCGAGCGAACAGAUGGAGUGCUUGCACUUCUGACGUCAGCGGCGAACGGGUGAGUAACACGUAAGGAAUCUACCUAUAAGCGGGGGAUAACAUUCGGAAACGGGUGCUAAUACCGCAUAAUAUCUUCUUCCGCAUGGAAGAAGAUUGAAAGACGGCUCUGCUGUCACUUAUAGAUGACCUUGCGGUGCAUUAGUUAGUUGGUGGGGUAACGGCCUACCAAGACGAUGAUGAAUAGCCGACCUGAGAGGGUGAUCGGCCACAUUGGGACUGAGACACGGCCCAAACUCCUACGGGAGGCAGCAGUAGGGAAUCUUCCGCAAUGGGCGAAAGCCUGACGGAGCAAUGCCGCGUGAGUGAAGAAGGCCUUCGGGUCGUAAAACUCUGUUAUAAGAGAAGAACAAAUUGUAGAGUAACUGCUACAGUCUUGACGGUAUCUUAUCAGAAAGCCACGGCUAACUACGUGCCAGCCGCCGCCGUAA
This 513-nucleotide ribosomal RNA is filed under the name uncultured bacterium. Its description in RNAcentral is "partial 16S ribosomal RNA". It matches the Rfam family "Bacterial small subunit ribosomal RNA", at positions 28 to 523 of the family's 1533-position model. The record is from RNAcentral.